UGGGGAAUAUUGGACAAUGGGCGCAAGCCUGAUCCAGCAAUGCCGCGUGUGUGAAGAAGGCCUUCGGGUUGUAAAGCACUUUUAUCAGGAGCGAAACGCUGUCGGCUAAUACCCGGCGGAACUGACGGUACCUGAGGAAUAAGCACCGGCUAACUUCGUGCCAGCAGCCGCGGUAAUACGAAGGGUGCAAGCGUUAAUCGGAAUUACUGGGCGUAAAGCGUGCGUAGGCGGUUUCUUAAGUCUGCUGUGAAAUCCCCGGGCUCAACCUGGGAAUGGCAGUGGAUACUGGGAGGCUAGAGUGUGUCAGAGGGUGGUGGAAUUCCCGGUGUAGCGGUGAAUGCGUAGAGAUCGGGAGGAACAUCAGUGGCGAAGGCGGCCACCUGGGACAACACU
RNAcentral lists this ribosomal RNA (393 nucleotides) under uncultured bacterium. RNAcentral's name for it is "partial 16S ribosomal RNA". It matches the Rfam family "Bacterial small subunit ribosomal RNA", at positions 355 to 741 of the family's 1533-position model. The record is from RNAcentral.